GACGAACGCUGGCGGCGUGCCUAAUACAUGCAAGUAGAACGCACAGUUUAUACCGUAGCUUGCUACACCAUAGACUGUGAGUUGCGAACGGGUGAGUAACGCGUAGGUAACCUGCCUGGUAGCGGGUGAUAACUAUUGGAAACGAUAGCUAAUACCUCAUAAUAUUGAUUAUUGCAUGAUAAUUAAUUGAAAGGUGCAAUUGCACCACUACCAGAUGGACCUGCGUUGUAUUAGCUAGUAGGUGAGGUAACGGCUCACCUAGGCGACGAUACAUAUCCGACCUGAGAGGGGGAUAGGCCACACUGGGACUGAGACACGGCCCAGACUCCUACGGGAGGAAGCAGUAGGGAAUCUUCGGCAAUGGACGAAAGUCUGACCGAGCAACGCCGCGUGAGUGAAGAAGGUUUUCGGAUCGUAAAGCUCUGUUGUAAGAGAAGAACGGGUGUGAGAGUGGAAAGUUCACACUGUGACGGUAUCUUACCAGAAAGGGACGGCUAACUACGUG
Molecule: ribosomal RNA, 505 nt
Filed under: uncultured bacterium
Lineage: Bacteria
Description: partial 16S ribosomal RNA
Rfam family: Bacterial small subunit ribosomal RNA
Source: RNAcentral